RNAcentral lists this ribosomal RNA (250 nucleotides) under uncultured Eubacteriales bacterium. RNAcentral's name for it is "uncultured Clostridiales bacterium partial 16S ribosomal RNA". It matches the Rfam family "Bacterial small subunit ribosomal RNA", at positions 89 to 339 of the family's 1533-position model. The record is from RNAcentral. Lineage: Bacteria; Bacillati; Bacillota; Clostridia; Eubacteriales.
CGGGAAGUAGCGAACGGGUGAGUAACGCGUGGGCAACCAACCUUACACAGGGGGAUAACGCAGAGAAAUUUGCGCUAAUACCGCAUAAGCGCACAGGAUCACAUGAUCUGGUGUGAAAAACUCCGGUGGUGUAAGACGGGCCCGCGUCUGAUUAGCUAGUUGGUGAGGUAAAGGCUCACCAAGGCGACGAUCAGUAGCCGACCUGAGAGGGUGAUCGGCCACAUUGGGACUGAGACACGGCCCAAACUCC